This 253-nucleotide ribosomal RNA is filed under the name uncultured bacterium. RNAcentral describes it as "partial 16S ribosomal RNA". It matches the Rfam family "Bacterial small subunit ribosomal RNA", at positions 524 to 776 of the family's 1533-position model. The record is from RNAcentral.
UACGUAGGGCGCAAGCGUUGUCCGGAAUUAUUGGGCGUAAAGAGCUCGUAGGCGGUUUGUCGCGUCUGUCGUGAAAGCUUGGGGCUUAACCCCAAGUCUGCGGUGGAUACGGGCAGACUAGAGGCAGGUAGGGGAGAACGGAAUUCCCGGUGUAGCGGUGAAAUGCGCAGAUAUCAGGAGGAACACCGGUGGCGAAGGCGGUUCUCUGGGCAUGACCUGACGCUGAGGAGCGAAAGCAUGGGGAGCGAACAGG